This 71-nucleotide transfer RNA is filed under the name Chloroflexota bacterium. RNAcentral describes it as "Chloroflexi bacterium tRNA-Gly". It matches the Rfam family "tRNA". From Rfam's summary of the family: Transfer RNA (tRNA) molecules are approximately 80 nucleotides in length. Their secondary structure includes four short double-helical elements and three loops (D, anti-codon, and T loops). Lineage: Bacteria; Bacillati; Chloroflexota. The record is from RNAcentral.
GCGGGUAUGGUGUAGUGGUAGCACAAGACCCUUCCAAGGUCUUGGCACGGGUUCGAGUCCCGUUACCCGCU